RNAcentral lists this ribosomal RNA (468 nucleotides) under uncultured bacterium. RNAcentral's name for it is "partial 16S ribosomal RNA". It matches the Rfam family "Bacterial small subunit ribosomal RNA", at positions 28 to 507 of the family's 1533-position model. The record is from RNAcentral.
GACGAACGCUGGCGGCGUGCUUAACACAUGCAAGUCGAACGGAAAGGCCCUGCUUUUGUGGGGUGCUCGAGUGGCGAACGGGUGAGUAACACGUGAGUAACCUGCCCUUGACUUUGGGAUAACUUCAGGAAACUGGGGCUAAUACCGGAUAGGAGCUCCUGCUGCAUGGUGGGGGUUGGAAAGUUUCGGCGGUUGGGGAUGGACUCGCGGCUUAUCAGCUUGUUGGUGGGGUAGUGGCUUACCAAGGCUUUGACGGGUAGCCGGCCUGAGAGGGUGACCGGCCACAUUGGGACGGAGAUACGGCCAAGACGCCUACGGGAGGCAGCAGUGGGGAAUAUUGCACAAUGGGCGGAAGCCGGAUGCAGCAACGCCGCGUGCGGGAUGACGGCCUUCGGGUUGUAAACCGCUUUCGCCUGUGACGAAGCGUGAGUGACGGUAAUGGGUAAAGAAGCACCGGCUAACUACGUG